Molecule: non-coding RNA, 2477 nt
Organism: Caretta caretta (loggerhead turtle)
Lineage: Eukaryota; Metazoa; Chordata; Testudines; Cheloniidae
Source: RefSeq, a predicted model, not a curated record
CGCCGCCAUCUUGGAUUCGGACAGGUAGCGUCAGGCUCUGUUGACGAUGACGCUGGUGGCAGCCAUUUUGGAUGUGGGCACUGAUAUUUCCAGGUGGGGGGGGCAGCCCGCCAUCUUGGUUUAGGGCAUUAAGAAGGAUUCGACCCUGUUGGCGCUCAAAGUUUGAAGGGACGCUGCGGACUCGGACACGAUGUAUUCCAAGGAGCCUGAUGUCUGGGAUGGAUUGGGGCAGCCCCCGACUGCCUCUGAGGCCAUGACCGGCUAUCUUGGAUGCUGUCACUAGAGCCCCUUGCUGGUUUCAUUGAUCGAUUCGGUGGGAGUAGGUCGGUUAUGUUCAGGUGCCUGAUGAGAAAGGAAGAUAGAGGCCUUCAUUGCUGAGUUUUUCCAUCCUCUGUUGGAAGGAGGAAGGGACCAGUGUGAGUCAACGGCAGAGUUGGGAACAGAACACAGCUGUGGCAGUGACUUCUGGAAGUGCAGCAGCUCUUGAAGAGGUCCAGAAUGCACAGCAUUUAGACGUUUGCUUCUGUCACAAUAGACCCAAACCUUCCAUCCUGGGCUGAUUUGAUGAGAUUGAGGUGAGAUUUUAAAAUAGCUGCAGCCCUCUUGAUGGAUAAAAAUUAGUUGUUUUCCCAUUGUGGGGUAAAUUAAAACCAACUAUUUUUAGCAGGAUGCCAAAUACUGCAGCUGUCCACCUUGUUAAUGAUCAACUCAAUCCCACUCCUAACCAUCUUCCUUCCUUACAGUUCUUUUCUCCUCUUCUUGGGGAUCUCUGCCUAAAAGUCUUACAGGCAGUAGAGGUAGUAAGCUUAGAAGCAUUGGCAGAACGAAGUAAAACAUGGUCCCAGGAGACCCUAUAGGUAAGGCACUGUAGCUAUGUCACUGUAUUCUCAUAGUGUAGAUGCUUUCUACAGUGACGGAACGUUUUUUUUUUUCUUUCCCCAUUGCUGUCGGAACUCCAUCUCCCUGAGUGACAGUAGCUAGGUCAAAAGAAACAGUCUUCCGUCAACCUAGCUGCAUCUACACUACGGAUCAGCUCAUCGUAGCUACAGCGUUCAAGGGUGUGGAUUUUUCACAUCCCUGAGAGCUGUAGCAGUGUCAACGUAACUUUUGAGUGAAGACCAGGCCUAAGGAUCUAGAGGAGGAAGAAACAACUUGGUGGGGAAGACUGGAUCAAAUUGGGAAGAUGAUCUGAGGCAGUGCUUCUCCUCAAAGUAGCAAAGCUAAGCUGCAUCCCAUUGCAGCCUGCAAACACCCCGGCAGUAUUUAUAACACACGAUAUGGUUAACUCUGGCACUGUGACACAUUUGUAUUACCUCUGUUAUGCCAGAGUGAAACAGCAUGGAAACACCAGUGCUGAGGUGGCAUGAGGUGUGAUAGUUUUUGAUUUGUGUCCAGGUGUAGAAAUUGUUUAAAGGGUGAGUUUGAACUUUCACAAGGUGUGGACUGAUUAAAUGAUCAAGGAUUAAUAGAAGGGUGAAGCUACCAGUCAAAAGCUGUGACAAGAGGAAUGCAGUCACAGUUGCCUCUAGUCAGCAUUCCUAAUUCCAUUCUUCACUGUUUUCUUAUGAUGGAGCUGUUCUCUUACCCACGUGCCCUCGUCAGUUCCUACUCCAUUCUUCUUUCUUAUAUCUUGGCACUCCCAGCUGACAUACAUGCAUCUCCUGUUCCUUUGACACUAUUCCAUGUGGACCUUGAUAGUUAAGUGUUGUUGUUUCCAGGGCCAGUGGUUUGCUAUUGAGAAGGUUUUGUGUACAGAAAGGCAGAAACAGCCUAGAAGAGACUGUCUUUAACAGAUUUUACUCCUAAUUUCAUACACACAUUUUGAAGGGGUGGGGGGAUUCUGUGUAGUCUACCAGGAGAACAAGCUCAAGGGAUCUCUAAUUAACAGGAAGUUAAGGUACUGGUAUGAGGUCUUAGGUGAAUUGAGGAGAACCUGUAGAAACAGCAUCUAGCAGAAGAGAGCCAUCUGGGAAUAUGUAGCAUAAUUUUUCCCCUGCCUUCAAGAGAGUGGUGCUGUGAAUAAGGUCACUAGUGUGUCCUUCUGGGAGAGGCUGGGACUAAAGUAUUAUUAUUAAUUAAUUAAUUUUAUUUAUUAUCAUUAUCAUCUCUAUGAAUUAUUUGUAUUACUGUAGCACCUAGGGACCCCAGUCAUGGACCAGAACCCCAGGUAGUACUGUAGGCGUUUUACAAAAAGAUGGCAGUUUGAGAAAAUGCAAAUGGAGAUCCUAAAUCAUUCCUGCCCAUGAAGGGGUAGGAUUGGAGUAGAUGUGAGCUCACAGUGCCAUGUGCUAGGAGAGGGUAGGCCGGUGGUAUCUGUGAGCUCCCAUACAGGGACUGAUUCUACAGUACCAGUAGUUAGGAGUGAUUGGACUAGGAAAUUUUAUGGGGGAUGGCGGUGGGUGGCUGUGUAUAUAUAUAUUUUUUUCUUUUAAAAUUGUUAGUAACAAAAUUGUAGCUUAUAUUUCAUCUGUGCUUCA